Transfer RNA from Bathycoccus prasinos, 73 nucleotides. It matches the Rfam family "tRNA". From Rfam's summary of the family: Transfer RNA (tRNA) molecules are approximately 80 nucleotides in length. Their secondary structure includes four short double-helical elements and three loops (D, anti-codon, and T loops). The record is from Rfam. NCBI's taxonomy places the organism in Eukaryota, Viridiplantae, Chlorophyta, Mamiellophyceae, Mamiellales, Bathycoccaceae.
GGGGUGUUAGCUCAGUUGGUAGAGCGUGCGCUUAGCAUGUGCAAGGUCAGGAGUUCGACUCUUCUACGCUCCA